AUGAGGACACCGUCGCAGUGUGGCCUCGCCGGUGGCUGCACGCAUCUCCCCGGACCAGAGGGGAUAACGACGCAAGCAAGGCGGCGGCGCCGGUGCCUAGCAGACACCGGAUCUGGCCGCCCCGGGAAGCGAAAUCCCGACGGCGCGCGUGCGCGUGCCACCGGCGAUCCAGAAGCAACCGAAUGGAGGGACUGGGCCAGCCUGACAUCGGUGUUCGUCGAGGACAUUGCCGGCCGGCUGCUCUCCGUCGACGUGUCCGAGUACCUGCGCUUCAGGGCCGUGUGCGCGCCCUGCCUCGAGCUGACGGACGACCCUCGCACGGGCGGCGUCCUAGACGGCCGGUUCCGGCCCCGCAACUGGAUCCCUCUACGCAAGCAGGCGCCGACCCCAGGCGUCUCCGCCUCAGGAACACAAUUACACAACCACCAACGCCCGCGUCGGGCUGGACCUCCCAGUGUUGGCAGCCAGCCACCUCCUCAGUGUCCUCGACGGCCUCCUCGUCCUCUCCGACAAGGGCACAAGCGCCGUCCGCCUCCUCCACCCGCUCACCGGCGCGCUAGCCGAGUUCCCCGUCAUCGCCAACGUGCGGGACCGGGGCGGCGCCCGGGUCGCCAUGGACGUGUUCAGGUCCCGGUUCCCCGGCCUCGGCCCCGAGCCGCCGAAUGGAUACGACAUCGACUACCCCGCCUUCAACACGGUGUUCACCAGCGCCGGCGUAGACGAGUCCACCUCGCCGCCGACCCUCCAGCUCCCGGUGAGAGACGAGGCGUGGCUGGUCCUACUCGCCAAGCCUGGUGA
RNAcentral lists this ribosomal RNA (798 nucleotides) under Triticum aestivum (bread wheat). RNAcentral's name for it is "partial small subunit ribosomal RNA". The record is from RNAcentral. Lineage: Eukaryota; Viridiplantae; Streptophyta; Magnoliopsida; Poales; Poaceae.